RNAcentral lists this ribosomal RNA (254 nucleotides) under uncultured bacterium. Its description in RNAcentral is "partial 16S ribosomal RNA". It matches the Rfam family "Bacterial small subunit ribosomal RNA", at positions 524 to 776 of the family's 1533-position model. The record is from RNAcentral.
UACGGGGGGAGCAAGCGUUGUUCGGAUUUACUGGGCGUAAAGGGCGCGUAGGCGGCCACCGCAAGUCAAUUGUGAAAUCUCCGGGCUUAACUCGGAAAGGUCAACUGAUACUGCGGGGCUAGAGUGCGGAAGGGGCAACUGGAAUUCUCGGUGUAGCGGUGAAAUGCGCAGAUAUCAGGAGGAACACCGGUGGCGAAGGCGGGUCUCUGGGCCGAUACUGACGCUGGGGAGCGAAAGCGUGGGGAGCGAACAGG